RNAcentral lists this ribosomal RNA (450 nucleotides) under uncultured Glomeromycotina. RNAcentral describes it as "SSU rRNA". It matches the Rfam family "Eukaryotic small subunit ribosomal RNA", at positions 569 to 1018 of the family's 1831-position model. Lineage: Eukaryota; Fungi; Glomeromycota. The record is from RNAcentral.
AGCAGCCGCGGUAAUUCCAGCCCCAAUAGCGUAUAUUAAAGUUGUUGCAGUUAAAAAGCUCGUAGUUGAAUUUCGGGAUUGACACAUCGGUCGUGCCUUAAGGGGUAUGAACUGGUGUAGUCAAUUUCUCACCUUCUGGAGAACCGCAAUGCCCUUAAUUGGGUGUCGCGGGGAACCAGGACCUUUACUUUGAAAAAUUAGAGUGUUUAAAGCAGGCAUUUUGCUUGAAUACAUUAGCAUGGAAUAAUAAAAUAGGACGGCAUGAUUCUAUUUUGUUGGUUUCUAGGAUCACCGUAAUGAUUAAUAGGGAUAGUUGGGGGCAUUAGUAUUCAAUUGUCAGAGGUGAAAUUCUUGGAUUUAUUGAAGACUAACUACUGCGAAAGCAUUUGCCAAGGAUGUUUUCAUUAAUCAAGAACGAAAGUUAGGGGAUCGAAGACGAUCAGAUACCGU